Molecule: transfer RNA, 85 nt
Filed under: Clostridiales bacterium
Lineage: Bacteria; Bacillati; Bacillota; Clostridia; Eubacteriales
Also listed under: 7 other names
Description: tRNA-Leu
Rfam family: tRNA
About the family: Transfer RNA (tRNA) molecules are approximately 80 nucleotides in length. Their secondary structure includes four short double-helical elements and three loops (D, anti-codon, and T loops).
Source: RNAcentral
GCGGAUAUGGCGGAAUUGGCAGACGCGCAUGAUUCAGGUUCAUGUGGGGCAACCCAUGCAGGUUCAAGUCCUGUUAUCCGCACCA